UCCCUUCGGGGACAUUGGUGACAGGUGGUGCAUGGUUGUCGUCAGCUCGUGUCGUGAGAUGUUGGGUUAAGUCCCGCAACGAGCGCAACCCUUGUCUUUAGUUGCCAUCAUUAAGUUGGGCACUCUAGAGAGACUGCCAGGGAUAACCUGGAGGAAGGUGGGGAUGACGUCAAAUCAUCAUGCCCCUUAUGCUUAGGGCUACACACGUGCUACAAUGGGUAGUACAGAGGGUUGCCAAGCCGUAAGGUGGAGCUAAUCCCUUAAAGCUACUCUCAGUUCGGAUUGUAGGCUGAAACUCGCCUACAUGAAGCUGGAGUUACUAGUAAUCGCAGAUCAGAAUGCUGCGGUGAAUGCGUUCCCGGGUCUUGUACACACCGCCCGUCACACCACGGAAGUUGGAGACGCCCGAAGCCGACUAUCUAACCUUUUGGAAGAAGUCGUCGAAGGUGGAAUCAAUAACUGGGGUGAAGUCGUAACAAGGUAGCCGUAUCGGAAGGUGCGGCUGGAUCACCUCCUUUCUAAGGAGA
RNAcentral lists this ribosomal RNA (527 nucleotides) under Clostridioides difficile. RNAcentral describes it as "bacterial SSU rRNA". It matches the Rfam family "Bacterial small subunit ribosomal RNA", at positions 1014 to 1533 of the family's 1533-position model. Lineage: Bacteria; Bacillati; Bacillota; Clostridia; Peptostreptococcales; Peptostreptococcaceae. The record is from RNAcentral.